GCUCCUACGGGAGGCAGCAGUAGGGAAUUUUCGUCAAUGGGCGCAAGCCUGAACGAGCGAUGCCGCGUGAGUGAAGAAGGCCUUCGGGUCGUAAACUUCUGUCCUUGGGGAAGAACAACUGACGGUACCCAAGGAGGAAGCCCCGGCUAACUACGUGCCAGCAGCCGCGGUAAUACGUAGGGGGCAAGCGUUAUCCGGAAUUAUUGGGCGUAAAGAGUACGUAGGUGGCAACCUAAGCGCAGGGUUUAAGGCAAUGGCUCAACCAUUGUUCGCCCUGCGAACUGGGAUGCUUGAGUGCAGUAGAG
Molecule: ribosomal RNA, 305 nt
Filed under: uncultured bacterium
Lineage: Bacteria
Description: bacterial SSU rRNA
Rfam family: Bacterial small subunit ribosomal RNA
Source: RNAcentral